This 559-nucleotide ribosomal RNA is filed under the name uncultured bacterium. RNAcentral's name for it is "bacterial SSU rRNA". It matches the Rfam family "Bacterial small subunit ribosomal RNA", at positions 338 to 916 of the family's 1533-position model. The record is from RNAcentral.
CCUACGGGAGGCAGCAGUGGGGAAUAUUGGACAAUGGGCGAAAGCCUGAUCCAGCAAUGCCGCGUGAGUGAAGAAGGCCUUCGGGUUGUAAAGCUCUUUUACCCGGGAAGAUAAUGACUGUACCGGGAGAAUAAGCCCCGGCUAACUCCGUGCCAGCAGCCGCGGUAAUACGGAGGGGGCUAGCGUUGUUCGGAAUUACUGGGCGUAAAGCGUACGUAGGCGGCUUUGUAAGUCAGAGGUGAAAGCCCACGACUCAAUCGUGGAACUGCCUUUGAGACUGCUUCGCUUGAAGAUGGGAGAGGUUAGUGGAAUUCCGAGUGUAGAGGUGAAAUUCGUAGAUAUUCGGAAGAACACCAGUGGCGAAGGCGGCUAACUGGACCAUUCUUGACGCUGAGGUACGAAAGCGUGGGGAGCAAACAGGAUUAGAUACCCUGGUAGUCCACGCCGUAAACGAUGAUAACUAGCUGUCGGGGCUCUUGGAGCUUCGGUGGCGCAGCUAACGCAUUAAGUUAUCCGCCUGGGGAGUACGGCCGCAGGUUAAAACUCAAAGGAUUGACGG